CGAUUCUGGCUCAGAUUGAACGCUGGCGGCGUGCUUAACACAUGCAAGUCGCGCGUGAAAGGACUUCGGUCCGAGUAAAGCGGCGCACGGGUGAGUAACGCGUGGAUGAUCUACCCAUGAGUUAGGAAUAACGGCUGGAAACGGUCGCUAAUACCAAAUACGCUCCGAUUUCAACUUCGGGGGAAAGGUGGCCUCUGCUUGCAAGCUACUGCUCAUGGAUGAGUCCGCGUCCCAUUAGCUAGUUGGUGGGGUAACGGCCCACCAAGGCGACGAUGGGUAGCCGGUCUGAGAGGAUGACCGGCCACACUGGGACUGGAACACGGCCCAGACUCCUACGGGAGGCAGCAGUGGGGAAUAUUGCGCAAUGGGCGAAAGCCUGACGCAGCGACGCCGCGUGAGGGAUGAAGGUCCUCGGAUCGUAAACCUCUGUCAGGAGGGAAGAACCGCCACGGUGCUAAUCAGCCGUGGUCUGACGGUACCUCCAAAGGAAGCACCGGCUAACUCCGUGCCAGCCGCAGC
Molecule: ribosomal RNA, 519 nt
Filed under: uncultured bacterium
Lineage: Bacteria
Description: bacterial SSU rRNA
Rfam family: Bacterial small subunit ribosomal RNA
Source: RNAcentral